This 480-nucleotide ribosomal RNA is filed under the name uncultured bacterium. RNAcentral describes it as "bacterial SSU rRNA". It matches the Rfam family "Bacterial small subunit ribosomal RNA", at positions 29 to 490 of the family's 1533-position model. The record is from RNAcentral.
AAUGAACGCUGGCGGCGUGCUUAACACAUGCAAGUCGAGCGAGGCUGAGGGGGCAACUCCUCAGUUUAGUGGCGGACGGGUGAGUAACACGUGGGUAACCUGCCCGGAAGUGGGGAAUACCUCGGGGAAACUCGAGCUAAUACCGCAUAACAUCUUUAGGACGAUGGUCCUGACGAUCAAAGCGGGGUCGCAAGAUCUCGCGCUACCGGAUGGGCCCGCGCCUGAUUAGCUAGUGGUGGGGUAACGGCUCACCAAGGCUUCGAUCAGUAACCGGCCUGAGAGGGCGAUCGGUCACACCGGAACUGAGACACGGUCCGGACUCCUACGGGAGGCAGCAGUGGGGAAUCUUGCGCAAUGGGCGAAAGCCUGACGCAGCAACGCCGCGUGGAGGAUGAAGGCCCUUGGGUUGUAAACUCCUGUCGGCUGGGAAGAAUCUUCCGGGCUAAUACCUCCGGAGGUUGACUGUACCAGCAAAGGAAG